This 798-nucleotide unclassified non-coding RNA is filed under the name Hevea brasiliensis (rubber tree). Lineage: Eukaryota; Viridiplantae; Streptophyta; Magnoliopsida; Malpighiales; Euphorbiaceae. The record is from RNAcentral.
UCACAAUAAAACUGACAAAAAUUUGUUUGUUUAAAUAGCUCAAUGAAACCUACAAUCUAAAUUCAGAUUGUCACAGUUAAUACAAGCAUACAAACAAACUAAUCAGCAAGGUUUACCAGAACAAAAUUGUAAAGAAAAAGGAACCUUCAAUUGGUCCGCGGAGCAAUCAAAAUUCCUGAGUCCAGACUAUAGGAGCACAAGCCCAAGUUCUGCAGGCUUCAAUGUUUGUCUAAUCCUAUAGUUGUAAAGAUAGUAGUGCAGUUUCCCAUCGCCAGGCCCAAAUUUCAGAUCCUUCAAGAAAGACUCAUUGUGCAUGACAUCUAGUGCAUUAAACACAUCAUAGUCUUUGCGUUUUGCAACAAUUAGAGCAUCAUUCAUCAACUGGAGCAAAGGAGUCUUAGUUGAAAUAUUGUAAUAAGAAUAUGCUGCCUUCAGAGCUGAAUAAUUCUGGUUGCCAAGAAUGGAGGAAGGAAGCGUGUAAAAACUGCAGAAAUCAGUGAUUUCAUGAGUUUCUGGACUUUCAACCAGAUAACUGUCCACAACAUCUUCUUUUGGCAGAAGCCAAUGCUCCACAUCAUUUUCAUCAAAAUCAGGCGCAGCUGCAAACUGGCUCAUAUAAUUCCUAAUUAGCCUAGUAAUUGCAGGAACAUCAUGGAACUCCAUCUUUCUAAAUCCUGGGGUAGCAGUUGACUCUGGUAACUUGUAAAGCUUGAUUGUUCGACUCAUAGUCAUCCUUGCACCAAGCCUAGAAAAACCAACAUCAAUCAGCUUCUUUGGAUUCAAAGAUCUAUGCCAAUA